GCCAGCAUGAUGUAGUGGUUUGAGCAUUGGACUAUGACUCUGGAGAUCAGGGUUCAAUUCCCUUUCUUGGCC
Molecule: non-coding RNA, 72 nt
Organism: Phrynosoma platyrhinos (Desert horned lizard)
Lineage: Eukaryota; Metazoa; Chordata; Lepidosauria; Squamata; Phrynosomatidae
Source: the annotation of a GenBank genome assembly